GUUGAUCAAGAUCUGAUCAAUUCUUUCAAGGAGUUGCCUGAGGAAUAUAAGGCAAGGUAUGCGAGGUUCCUUCUUAGAUCCUAUGUGGAAGAGUGUGGGAAAAGGAGAAUCAAGUGGUGCCCAGGACCUGGAUGUGAGAAUGCUGUGGAGUUUUCUUCUGGGAAUUGUAAAAACUUCGAUGUGUUGUGUGAUUGUUCUCAUGAAUUUUGCUGGAAUUGUCCAGCAGACGAGGCUCACAGUCCGGCGAAUUGCGAGAUGG
RNAcentral lists this unclassified non-coding RNA (259 nucleotides) under Hevea brasiliensis (rubber tree). The record is from RNAcentral. Lineage: Eukaryota; Viridiplantae; Streptophyta; Magnoliopsida; Malpighiales; Euphorbiaceae.